GACGAACGCUGGCGGCGUGCUUAACACAUGCAAGUCGAACGGAAAGGCCCUGCUUUUGUGGGGUGCUCGAGUGGCGAACGGGUGAGUAACACGUGAGUAACCUGCCCUUGACUUUGGGAUAACUUCAGGAAACUGGGGCUAAUACCGGAUAGGAGCUCCUGCUGCAUGGUGGGGGUUGGAAAGUUUCGGCGGUUGGGGAUGGACUCGCGGGUUAUCAGCUUGUUGGUGGGGUAGUGGCUUACCAAGGCUUUGACGGGUAGCCGGCCUGAGAGGGUGACCGGCCACCUUGGGACUGAGAUACGGCCCAGACUCCUACGGGAGGCAGCAGUGGGGAAUAUUGCACAAUGGGCGGAAGCCUGAUGCAGCAACGCCGCGUGCGGGAUGACGGCCUUCGGGUUGUAAACCGCUUUCGCCUGUGACGAAGCGUGAGUGACGGUAAUGGGUAAAGAAGCCCCGGCUAACUACGUG
This 468-nucleotide ribosomal RNA is filed under the name uncultured bacterium. Its description in RNAcentral is "partial 16S ribosomal RNA". It matches the Rfam family "Bacterial small subunit ribosomal RNA", at positions 28 to 507 of the family's 1533-position model. The record is from RNAcentral.